ACCUUCAAGUCUAUGGCUGAACAAGCCUGAUCCCAUCUGAUCUCGGAAGCUGAGCAGGGUCAGGCCUGUUUAGUACUUGGAUGGGAGACCACCUAGGAAGACCAGGUACUGUAGGUG
This 117-nucleotide ribosomal RNA is filed under the name Pteropus alecto (black flying fox). Lineage: Eukaryota; Metazoa; Chordata; Mammalia; Chiroptera; Pteropodidae. The record is from RNAcentral.